CUGAACCAAUAAAUCUAUGAUCUGAACAGACCAAGAUUUCUUGUCAUGGAUAACUUCGCCAAAAAGGUAUUUUUGGUGCAAAACCUCGCUAAAAAUUUAUCCUGCUGUAUAUGUGGCGAUUUGUUAAACAUUCCUGUAUAUAACUGCACAACGGGGUUCUCUAUGUGCAGCAAAUGUUCAGAUUCUGAUGCUUUGUGUAGGUUGUGCGGAUACAUCUGUAGCAAUCGACGGAACAAUCACUUGGAGAGGAUAUUAGAAUAUCUAAGAAACGAUUUAAAACAGUAUUCUGAAGAUGGGAGACCAAUAGGGGGGCUUGUAAAUAACUAGUUAUUGAUCUGAGUUUGAUUUAAGAUUGUUUCUUCUGUCAAUGUCAUUUUUAAUUGACAAAUCUACCCUAUUUAAGUAGAUUAUAUGUCUUUUUUGUUGAGUCAGAGUCAAACCAUAUACUAUAAAUAUGUUUUAAUAUGUAUAUUUUUAUUCCACUAGAGUUUUAUUAUUUUAUUAUCAAGUUAUAUUUGUGUUUAAUGACAGUGUAUUGUGUAAAGAUAUUAAAUACAAUUUUAGAAAUUAA
Long non-coding RNA from Sitophilus oryzae (rice weevil), 571 nucleotides. RefSeq lists it as uncharacterized. The record is from RefSeq and is a predicted model, not a curated record. Lineage: Eukaryota; Metazoa; Arthropoda; Insecta; Coleoptera; Curculionidae. The transcript is spliced from 2 exons.